GAAAUGCGAUAAGUAGUGUGAAUUGCAGAAUUCAGUGAAUCAUCGAAUCUUUGAACGCACAUUGCGCCCCUUGGUAUUCCAUGGGGCAUGCCUGUUCGAGCGUCAUUUGUACCUUCAAGCUCUGCUUGGUGUUGGGUGUUUGUCUCGCCUCUGCGCGCAGACUCGCCUCAAAACAAUUGGCAGCCGGCGUAUUGAUUUCGGAGCGCAGUACAUCUCGCGCUUUGCACUCAGAACGACGACGUCCAAAAGUACAUUUUUUACACUCUUGACCUCGGAUCAGGUAGGGAUACCCGCUGAACUUAAGC
This 305-nucleotide unclassified non-coding RNA is filed under the name plant metagenome. RNAcentral's name for it is "partial contains 5.8S ribosomal RNA, internal transcribed spacer 2, and large subunit ribosomal RNA". The stretch from base 1 to 105 matches the Rfam family "5.8S ribosomal RNA", at positions 50 to 154 of the family's 154-position model. The record is from RNAcentral.